CCUACGGGAGGCAGCAGUGGGGAAUAUUGGACAAUGGGCGCAAGCCUGAUCCAGCCAUACCGCGUGGGUGAAGAAGGCCUUCGGGUUGUAAAGCCCUUUUGUUGGGAAAGAAAAGCAGUCGGCUAAUACCCGGUUGUUCUGACGGUACCCAAAGAAUAAGCACCGGCUAACUUCGUGCCAGCAGCCGCGGUAAUACGAAGGGUGCAAGCGUUACUCGGAAUUACUGGGCGUAAAGCGUGCGUAGGUGGUUGUUUAAGUCUGUUGUGAAAGCCCUGGGCUCAACCUGGGAAUUGCAGUGGAUACUGGGCGACUAGAGUGUGGUAGAGGGUAGUGGAAUUCCCGGUGUAGCAGUGAAAUGCGUAGAGAUCGGGAGGAACAUCCAUGGCGAAGGCAGCUACCUGGACCAACACUGACACUGAGGCACGAAAGCGUGGGGAGCAAACAGGAUUAGAUACCCUGGUAGUCCACGCCCUAAACGAUGCGAACUGGAUGUUGGGUGCAAUUUGGCACGCAGUAUCGAAGCAAACGCGUUAAGUUCGCCGCCUGGGGAGUACGGUCGCAAGACUGAAACUCAAAGGAAUUGACGG
RNAcentral lists this ribosomal RNA (587 nucleotides) under uncultured bacterium. RNAcentral's name for it is "bacterial SSU rRNA". It matches the Rfam family "Bacterial small subunit ribosomal RNA", at positions 338 to 916 of the family's 1533-position model. The record is from RNAcentral.